UAGGGAAUCUUCCACAAUGGACGCAAGUCUGAUGGAGCAACGCCGCGUGAGUGAAGAAGGUUUUCGGACCGUAAAGCUCUGUUGUUGGUGAAGAAGGAUAGAGGUAGUAACUGGCCUUUAUUUGACGGUAAUCAACCAGAAAGUCACGGCUAACUACGUGUCAGCAGCCGCGGUAAUACGUAGGUGGCAAGCGUUGUCCGGAUUUAUUGGGCGUAAAAGCGAGCGCAGGCGGAAGAAUAAGUCUGAUGUGAAAGCCCUCGGCUUAACCGAGGAAUUGCAUCGGAAACU
This 288-nucleotide ribosomal RNA is filed under the name uncultured bacterium. RNAcentral describes it as "partial 16S ribosomal RNA". It matches the Rfam family "Bacterial small subunit ribosomal RNA", at positions 355 to 634 of the family's 1533-position model. The record is from RNAcentral.